This is an unclassified non-coding RNA of Carlito syrichta (Philippine tarsier), 113 nucleotides long. It matches the Rfam family "Y RNA". From Rfam's summary of the family: Y RNAs are components of the Ro ribonucleoprotein particle (Ro RNP), in association with Ro60 and La proteins. The Y RNAs and Ro60 and La proteins are well conserved, but the function of the Ro RNP is not known. In humans the RNA component can be one of four small RNAs -- hY1, hY3, hY4 and hY5. The record is from Ensembl. Lineage: Eukaryota; Metazoa; Chordata; Mammalia; Primates; Tarsiidae.
GGCUGGUCCGAAGGUAGUGAGUUAUCUCAAUUGAUUGUUCACAGUCAGUUACAGAUUGAACUCCUUGUUCUACUCUCUCCUCCCUUCUCACUACUGCACUUGACUGGUCUUUU